ACGUAGGGUGCGAGCGUUAAUCGGAAUUACUGGGCGUAAAGUGUGCGCAGGCGGCCGAGCAAGUCGAGUGUGAAAGCCCCGAGCUUAACUUGGGAAUUGCGCUCGAAACUACUUGGCUGGAGUGUGGCAGAGGGGGGUGGAAUUCCACGUGUAGCGGUGAAAUGCGUAGAUAUCGGGAGGAACUCCUGUGGCGAAGGCGGCCGCCUGGUUGGAUACUGACGCUGAGACGCGAAAGCGUGGGGAGCAAACAGGA
RNAcentral lists this ribosomal RNA (253 nucleotides) under uncultured prokaryote. Its description in RNAcentral is "partial 16S ribosomal RNA". It matches the Rfam family "Bacterial small subunit ribosomal RNA", at positions 525 to 777 of the family's 1533-position model. The record is from RNAcentral.